RNAcentral lists this ribosomal RNA (465 nucleotides) under uncultured bacterium. Its description in RNAcentral is "partial 16S ribosomal RNA". It matches the Rfam family "Bacterial small subunit ribosomal RNA", at positions 28 to 507 of the family's 1533-position model. The record is from RNAcentral.
GACGAACGCUGGCGGCGUGCUUAACACAUGCAAGUCGUACGGUAAGGCCCUUUCGGGGGUCCACGAGUGGCGAACGGGUGAGUAACACGUGAGUAACCUGCCCACAACUUUGGGAUAACGCUAGGAAACUGGUGCUAAUACUGGAUAUGUGCUCCUGCUGCAUGGUGGGGGUUGGAAAGCUCCGGCGGUUGUGGAUGGACUCGCGGCCUAUCAGCUUGUUGGUGGGGUAGUGGCCUACCAAGGCGGCGACGGGUAGCCGGCCUGAGAGGGUGACCGGCCACAUUGGGACUGAGAUACGGCCCAGACUCCUACGGGAGGCAGCAGUGGGGAAUAUUGCACAAUGGGCGCAAGCCUGAUGCAGAAACGCCGCGGGCGGGAUGACGGCCUUCGGGUUGUAAACCGCUUUCAGCAGGGACGAAGCUUUUUGUGACGGUACCUGCAGAAGAAGCACCGGCUAACUACGUG